Molecule: ribosomal RNA, 301 nt
Filed under: uncultured bacterium
Lineage: Bacteria
Description: partial 16S ribosomal RNA
Rfam family: Bacterial small subunit ribosomal RNA
Source: RNAcentral
CAGCCGCCACGGGAAUACGGAGGGUGCGAGCGUUAAUCGGAAUUACUGGGCGUAAAGCGUACGCAGGCGGUUUGUUAAGUCAGAUGUGAAAUCCCCGAGCUUAACUCGGGAACUGCAUUUGAAACUGGCAAGCUAGAGUCUUGUAGAGGGGGGUAGAAUUCCAGGUGUAGCGGUGAAAUGCGUAGAGAUCUGGAGGAAUACCGGUGGCGAAGGCGGCCCCCUGGACAAAGACUGACGCUCAGGUGCGAAAGCGUGGGGAGCAAACAGGAUUAGAUACCCCGGUAGUCCCUGUCUCUUAUAC